AGAUCUUGCCAUUUUAGGGUUUUCGGGCUGUCAUUAUCUUUCAGGGGGCGGCAGAACUUUACCAAACUUACAAUGUAGGGAUAUCUUGUGAUGAUCAUGUUUGGGAUCUGGAGUUUGCCUCAAGACUACCACCACUUCAUACAUUUAGCGAUCCUCUCAUGACCAAUACAUGCCCAACGAUGAGCAGCGACAUGAUUUGGGGAGCAUCAAUAUCUUAUAUCUAGGGUUUCAAUUUGAUAACUGACUAC
Molecule: long non-coding RNA, 248 nt
Organism: Arabidopsis thaliana (thale cress)
Lineage: Eukaryota; Viridiplantae; Streptophyta; Magnoliopsida; Brassicales; Brassicaceae
Product: other RNA
Exons: 1
Source: RefSeq